Molecule: ribosomal RNA, 468 nt
Filed under: uncultured bacterium
Lineage: Bacteria
Description: partial 16S ribosomal RNA
Rfam family: Bacterial small subunit ribosomal RNA
Source: RNAcentral
GACGAACGCUGGCGGCGUUCUUAACACAUGCAAGUCGAACGGAAAGGCCCUGCUUUUGUGGGGUGCUCGAGUGGCGAACGGGUGAUUAACACGUGAGUAACCUGCCCUUGACUUUGGGAUAACUUCAGGAAACUGGGGCUAAUACCGGAUAGGAGCUCCUGCUGCAUGGUGGGGGUUGGAAAGUUUCGGCGGUUGGGGAUGGACUCGCGGCUUAUCAGCUUGUUGGUGGGGUAUUGGCUUACCAAGGCUUUGACGGGUAGCCGGCCUGAGAGGGUGACAGACCACAUUGGGACUGAGAUACGGCCCAGACUCCUACGGGAGGCAGCAGUGGGGAAUAUUGCACAAUGGGCGGAAGGCUGAUGCAGCAACGCCGCGUGCGGGAUGACGGCCGUCGGGGUGUAAACCGCUUUCGCCUGUGACGAAGCGUGAGUGAAGGGAAUGGGUAAAGAAGCACAGGCUAACUAAGUG